This 484-nucleotide ribosomal RNA is filed under the name uncultured bacterium. RNAcentral's name for it is "partial 16S ribosomal RNA". It matches the Rfam family "Bacterial small subunit ribosomal RNA", at positions 30 to 507 of the family's 1533-position model. The record is from RNAcentral.
AUUGAACGCUGGCGGCAGGCCUAACACAUGCAAGUCGAGCGGAUGAAGGGAGCUUGCCACUGGAUGCAGCGGCGGACGGGUGAGUAAUGCCUAGGAAUCUGCCUGGUAGUGGGGGAUAACGUCCGGAAACGGGCGCUAAUACCGCAUACGUCCUGAGGGAGAAAGUGGGGGAUCUUCGGACCCCACGCUAUCAGAUGAGCCUAGGUCGGAUUAGCUAGUUGGUGGGGUAAAGGCCUACCAAGGCGACGAUCCGUAACUGGUCUGAGAGGAUGAUCAGUCACACUGGAACUGAGACACGGUCCAGACUCCUACGGGAGGCAGCAGUGGGGAAUAUUGGACAAUGGGCGAAAGCCUGAUCCAGCCAUGCCGCGUGUGUGAAGAAGGUCUUCGGAUUGUAAAGCACUUUAAGUUGGGAGGAAGGGCAGUAAGUUAAUACCGUGCUGUUUUGACGUUACCAACAGAAUAAGCACCGGCUAACUUCGUG